Molecule: unclassified non-coding RNA, 222 nt
Filed under: rhizosphere metagenome
Description: partial ribosomal RNA internal transcribed spacer region
Source: RNAcentral
GCUGGUGGACCAGCAGAGGGAUCAUUACAGAGUUGAAAAACUCCCAACCAUUGUGAACCUACCUCACCGUUGCUUCGGCGGGUGGCCAGGGGAAACCCAGGCCGCACCGGCCCCCCUCGCGGGGCUGGCAGCCCGUCAGAAGCCUGAAACUCUAGCAUCUUGGCCUCUCUGAGUAACUUAUACAAUAAGUCAAAACUUUCAACAACGGAUCUCUUGGUUCCG